RNAcentral lists this transfer RNA (74 nucleotides) under Actinomycetota bacterium. Its description in RNAcentral is "Actinobacteria bacterium (freshwater metagenome) tRNA-Gln". It matches the Rfam family "tRNA". Rfam says of the family: Transfer RNA (tRNA) molecules are approximately 80 nucleotides in length. Their secondary structure includes four short double-helical elements and three loops (D, anti-codon, and T loops). Lineage: Bacteria; Bacillati; Actinomycetota. The record is from RNAcentral.
UGGGGGAUCGUCUAAUGGCAGGACGGCUGGUUCUGGUCCAGUUAAUCGGGGUUCGAGUCCCUGUCCCCCAGCCA